UGGAUGGUUAGUUCAGCGUUCACGUCCA
This 28-nucleotide small RNA is filed under the name Bombyx mori (domestic silkworm). RNAcentral's name for it is "ovarian small RNA-34679". Lineage: Eukaryota; Metazoa; Arthropoda; Insecta; Lepidoptera; Bombycidae. The record is from RNAcentral.